AGUGAACGCUGGCGGUAGGCCUAACACAUGCAAGUCGAACGGCAGCACAGUAAGAGCUUGCUCUUACGGGUGGCGAGUGGCGGACGGGUGAGGAAUACAUCGGAAUCUACUUUUUCGUGGGGGAUAACGUAGGGAAACUUACGCUAAUACCGCAUACGACCUACGGGUGAAAGCAGGGGAUCUUCGGACCUUGCGCGAUUGAAUGAGCCGAUGUCGGAUUAGCUAGUUGGCGGGGUAAAGGCCCACCAAGGCGACGAUCCGUAGCUGGUCUGAGAGGAUGAUCAGCCACACUGGAACUGAGACACGGUCCAGACUCCUACGGGAGGCAGCAGUGGGGAAUAUUGGACAAUGGGCGCAAGCCUGAUCCAGCCAUACCGCGUGGGUGAAGAAGGCCUUCGGGUUGUAAAGCCCUUUUGUUGGGAAAGAAAAGCAGCAGGUUAAUACCCCGCUACUCUGACGGUACCCAAAGAAUAAGCACCGGCUAACUUCGUG
RNAcentral lists this ribosomal RNA (492 nucleotides) under uncultured bacterium. RNAcentral describes it as "partial 16S ribosomal RNA". It matches the Rfam family "Bacterial small subunit ribosomal RNA", at positions 29 to 507 of the family's 1533-position model. The record is from RNAcentral.